ACUCGUUGGUAAGGUAGUGGCUUACCAAGGUUGCAACGGGUAACGGGGGAUCAGGGUUCGAUUCCGGAGAGGGAGCCUGAGAAACGGCUACCACAUCCAAGGAAGGCAGCAGGCGCGCAAAUUACCCAAUCAAGACGAUGGGAGGCGGUGACCAGAAGUACUGGGUGGUGAUCGUUAGAUCACUAAUCCCGGAAUGAGCAUAAAGUAAAAAUUUAGUCGAGUAACAACUGGAGGGCAAGUCUGGUGCCAGCAGCCGCGGUAAUUCCAGCUCCAGUAGCAUGUCGUAAAGUUGUUGCGUUUAGAACGCUCGUAGUUGGAUCAUAAGGUAGCUUCAGUACAAUCUUGCUCAUGACGUUGACUCCAUCUAGACUGGUGUCUGAUUGUUAACUCAGUCUUUCGCUGUCUUGUAUGGUGUUGUGUGUAACGAUUAUUGCUGAAGUAUACUAUUUGCAUAUGAGGAUAGUGAUUAGCCUUUAGUGCGUUGGUCAUUGUGUCUCAUAGAGUGUGCCUUGAAUAAAUCAGAGUGCUCCAAGCAGGUACAAGCCUGUAUGAUACAGCAUGGAACGAACAAACGUGUUACGUAUGUCUUAAUGUCUCUCACGGGAUGAUUUGAUAUACAUCACCAGCCACCAUGUACGGAUGUUGGUUUCCGUAUUGGGGUGAGGAUUAAAACGAGCGGUUGGGGGCAUUGGUAUUUGGUCGCGAGAGGUGAAAUUCUUAGACCGACCAAGGACUAACAAAAGCGAAGGCAUUUGCCAAGACCGUAUCGAUUAAUCAAGAACGAUAGAGAGAGGUUCGAAGACGAUCAGAUACCGUCCUAGUUCUCUCUGUAAACUAUGCCAACCCGAGAUCAGUCUAGUGUUUAUUAACCAUGCACUAGGUUGGUCCCCCUGGGAAACCUCAAGUUUUUGGGUUACGGGGGGAGUAUGGUCGCAAGGCUGAAACUUAAAGGAAUUGACGGAAGGGCACCACCAGGGGUGGAGCCUGCGGCUUAAUUUGACUCAACACGGGAAAACUCACCGGUUCCGGACGUUAAUAGGAUAGACAGACUGAUAGAUCUUUCUUGAUAUGACGCGUGGUGGUGCAUGGCCGUUCUUAGUUCGUGAAGUGAUUUGUCAGGUCGAUUCCGGUAACGGACGAGAUCCAUUUCCCCAUUUACUAUGCGGAAUAGUUGUGGGUAACCAUGACUCUAGUUGCUAGCUCCAGAUUGUGGCUAUAACCUAGUCACAAACUGGUUUUGGCAGCUUUUCUUUCGCAAUGUUGUGUACGGAAACGUAUGCGGCUGCAUGGAGAGACAACUGACUUAAAUUCAGAGGAAGUUUGGCAAUAACAGGUCUGUGAUGCCCUAGA
This 1350-nucleotide ribosomal RNA is filed under the name Hennegoides pangasii. RNAcentral describes it as "SSU rRNA". It matches the Rfam family "Eukaryotic small subunit ribosomal RNA", at positions 318 to 1477 of the family's 1831-position model. Lineage: Eukaryota; Metazoa; Cnidaria; Myxozoa; Bivalvulida; Myxobolidae. The record is from RNAcentral.